RNA transcript from Echinops telfairi (small Madagascar hedgehog), 1295 nucleotides. It is a transcript of the gene named nucleolar pre-rRNA processing protein NIP7, with no coding region annotated. NCBI's taxonomy places the organism in Eukaryota, Metazoa, Chordata, Mammalia, Afrosoricida, Tenrecidae. The record is from RefSeq and is a predicted model, not a curated record. The transcript is spliced from 6 exons.
GCCACUCUGAGGUGUAAGGGCGCUUCCGUUUCCGGUGUGUGAGGCACGUGGAUCCCGUGUUCCUGCUUAGCGGGAAAAUGCGGCCUUUAACCGAAGAGGAGACCCGUGUGAUGUUCGAGAAGCUCGCGAAAUACAUCGGGGAGAACCUUCAGCUGCUUGUGGACAGACCCGACGGCACCUACUGUUUCCGGCUGCACAACGACAGGGUGUACUACGUGAGCGAGAAGAUUCUGAAGCUGGCCUCCAACAUCUCCGGGGACAAGCUGGUGUCACUGGGGACCUGCUUCGGAAAAUUCACUAAGACCCACAAGUUCCGGUUGCACGUCACGGCUCUGGAUUACCUGGCGCCCUAUGCCAAGUAUAAAGUGUGGAUAAAGCCUGGAGCAGAGCAGUCCUUUCUCUAUGGGAACCACGUGUUGAAAUCUGGUCUUGGUCGAAUUACUGAAAACACUUCUCAAUACCAGGGAGUGGUAGUCUACUCCAUGGCAGACAUCCCUCUGAGUCCACUUCUGCAAAAGAAAACCAAGACACGUGACAACCUGCCGCCCACUCCUUCACAGCUUCUCCAGUAAGUGGAGAGGACAAAACCAAGAAACCCAGAGAGAUCUCCUUGGAACCCCAAGGCAGCAUACACAGACUAUCUUUGAAAGGACAAAAGAAAAACAGAAACAAAACCACAGGUUGCUUCUGAUGAGGGGAACAACACAACCAAAGGUCAGAAGAGAGUGUUUUCACUACACUUGUGUUGAGCUUUUAAAUUUUGUCUUAUAUACAUGUUUCACCUCUUCAACACUGAAAUUUAGAUUUAAAAAGGAAGAAAAAUAAAUGGGAUGGCAGUGACAGCUUUUCAUUCCAGGAAACUGAGAUGUUAAGUCUGCAUCACGGCAGAUUCUCAAGUCUGAGGGAUUCACAUUUAUGUCAAGCAAAGUUAGAAGAGCUUAAAACACCGAUUGUUCCCUUUGCUUAGUAUCUGGUGCUGAGGCUUCACUUAAUGUUCUCUCACAAAUCAGAAAGGAGGCAAAUCAAUGAUUCGUGGAAAUUCAUCGAAUGGAAAAUAAGUUUGUGAAGGCAAUCUAACAGCAAAUCAUCUUUGGAUAUAAAAGACACUAUGUGAAAGGUAUUGGCGAUUUCAACAACAUUCCUGACAAAAGAACACUUUUAAGCAAAAAAAUAAACUUACCUGAGUUGUGGGGUCCUUGGUCAUAUGUUUCUUCAAAAUUUUUGAAGCCUUUUCAAAUUCUUUGUUUUUGAUACAAAUAAUGACAGCCUAGGAAACAAAGGAGUUAAAUGUUAUA